Xenopus laevis (African clawed frog) is the source of this 220-nucleotide long non-coding RNA. RefSeq lists it as uncharacterized. The record is from RefSeq and is a predicted model, not a curated record. Lineage: Eukaryota; Metazoa; Chordata; Amphibia; Anura; Pipidae. The transcript is spliced from 3 exons.
CAUCCUACUAAAAGUUCAUUUAAAGGGGAACAACUCUUGACUUCAUUUUGGCUGAUUAUGUCUAUUUGUCCCUGUAGGUUUCAACGAUGGACAAGGUGCAGAGAAAACCAUCGCUUCUGACGCUGUACUCCGUCCUGAAGGACUUCAGGGGGGAACAUACGGACUUUGAGGCCCUCGCCUCUUAUUACGAACAUCACUACCGGGUCGAAUUCGGCGAAGA